CUUUUCUGUGUAGUAGCGUCACAAAGAUUUGACGGUCGUAGGAUGUGACGUCGGACGCUGAAAAAGUUCCCGUGAACUUUAAAGGCCGCGGGAGUUACUCAUAAUGGCGGCUCGACCUGGUCCAGAUGAAUGGCUCCGGUUGAAAGAAACGCUGGGACUUCGGCUCACGGAGACCAGGUGGACGUCGUCCAGAGUCACAGUCCAGUCCUGGAACUGAAGGACCAGAUAGUUUGUCCUGAAGAGCUUCAACACGGUAGGGGGCGUCGUUUUUCUUCUAUUCUGUGCGGUCGCUGCACCGCUGCUGUGUUCGGCUAGGCCGCUGUUGCCUUGUUGUGAACGUGUGUACGAGUGUUUGUUUGCAUGUGUUUGUGUGAACCAUAGCAGUACCAGUAAAUGGCCACCAGUCUCUGCUCUGGUUGGUUUACUUUCUGUUGUUUCCUGUCUUGAGUUUCUAGGCUGUGGAAUCUGGUUAGUCAGUCAGCGAGGUCCUCCAGUAGGGGGCGACUCAGGGUUGUUGUGACUCUGGUCCCAUUUUAAUGGUGUGGCUGUGGAACUGCUGAGCAUGUGUUUAAACUGUUGGCUCUGGGUCUGACCUGUGACCGUGGUGGUCCAGUGUCUGCAGAGUGACGUGGGCUGGAGCUCAGCAGUUUGGAGUCAUGGAGUGUGAUGUUCUGUCUGCACUAACGAUUGUUACUUUUUAGGUGCUGUCGUCAAAGGGUGAGUCCAGAACUUUUUUUUUUUUUCCCUCUCUCUGUGUCUGUCCUUAGGAAUAAAGAAUGCUUAAUAUUUAAAUCACUGAGAUAUGACUGAACACAUGGUCUAUACAUUCAAACAACUGACACAUUUAUCAAAGCAAAGUUAAAUCUCAAAAGUUUAGUCUUAAAAGUUUAAGAAUCUCUCUCACACACACACACACACACAUCGUGACAUUGCGUCUUCAACACUGCGUGUUCCUGACUGCCUUCACGGCUGCAAAAGAAGCUGUGCUUCUUCGAGGGGGUGGGGGUGGGUUUUGCCUGGCUGUCGUGCCAUAACGUUUGUUUUUUUUUUUCAACUUUGGAGGACAACAAACUCUGAGGAAGUGCUAAAUAUCGAUUAGUUGCGCGACUAAAAUGUGACAGUGAGUGAUACUAGGUGUGUUCUUUCUCAGCUGCCGUGCUGAUCGUGCGCUUUAACCUGGCUCCUCCUGCCAUGACCUUUUUUCCAGCCGCCGUGCUGACCUUUAGUUCUGUCCUGUUUGUUGUACCUUUUUAUAAAAAUGUUGCGUCUAAAAAAUGGCGAGUUGUCGGUCAAUGAUACGUCGACAUAACGACCAGUGUUCAGUCUGAAAUAUGUCCAACUAUAACGUUACAGACCAUAAUGUUUAUGACUCUGCCUGUUCGAUAUAGGUGUGUGUAUGGGGCCAGAUGUUGAGCCACAGCUGGACUGACGUUGUUUCUAAAGAUGAGGUUAGCUUAGUUUGAUCUGUGAGGAAGUCUUGUUUUGGCCAAUGUGUCAAAAGGCUGAUGUCCAGAGCCACUGUGGCGCCUCCUGUGGGAUGCCAUGUCCACCUGUCUCCUGUCCUUUCUUUCCCAGUGUGGCCUAAUCUCUCAGGAACACGUAGUUUUUUUAAAUCUAGACCUCAGUGGCAGUGUUUAUAAAUACAAUAUUCCACAAUUUUGACGUUCCAUUUGCGAUCCUUUUAUGCAAUUUAUCGACGUUGCGUUCGUUUUUCACAAUUGGGCUGGUUCUCCGCCAGAAUUCUGGACGUUUUGGCUGCUGUCAUUUUCUGGCUGUCCAGAGUGACGUCUUCAUCGACCACUGUGGACGUCCAGGACUCUGAAAGUCAUGUGUGUUUCCUUGACCUUUGGAAAUGUAUAUUUAUAUAUAUUGGACUUCUGUAUAUGUAUGUUCAUAUGUAUUGGACUUCUGUAUAUUUAUAUGUAUUGGACUUCUGUAAAUGUAUAUUUAUGUACAUUUGUUAGUGUUUUUGUAAAUGUAUUCAUGUGUAUUUCCUUGACCUUUGUACCUUUCUGUAAAUGUAUACAUUGUUUUUGUGUGAAGCCCAUUGUUGGACAGUCAGACUGGGACUCCAGUCGUGGGCUAUGACUGGUCUGUGGGCCACACACUGUCAUCACUGUCUUCAUUGUUUGAUUGUCUUUUUCUGCAUGUUCCACUGGUGCACAGAGUGUGGGCUGAGUUGGUCUGGGUCACGUACAGAUGGGCCGAAUGUGGGUCAGAUUGUUACUGUAGUUGUAAAUCCUGACCAGAGUAUAAAUGAUGAGACCAGGAAUUGUUGUUACUUAGAAUUUAAAAACCAGCUGAAACCAUGUGAUUGGACGGAGAUCAAAUAUGUGUUUAUGUGUUGGUAGCAGGUGGUGGGUGCUUUACUCGGGUUGUCCUGAUUGGCUGAAGAUGGUGAGAUCAGUCAGUCAAACAGGUAAGACUCAUCGGUACUUCCUGCACCAGAGGUGUUGGUGUUGGAUCUGUACCAGCUGUGGAACUUCCUGGACUGCAUGGUUAAGGUGAUCCAGGUGGACCAACUCUUAAAGAUCAACUUCUCAGCCACAGGAUGUCUUCUUCAGGUUUGUUCUUCACAUGAACCUUUUAUCCACCUAUUCACUUUAAUCUGACCUCACUGAUCUGGUCUGUGUCCUGGUGCCUGAUGAAAACCAUAGACUGGUGACUUGUUUGUUGUUUUAGUUGAGGGAGGGGGGGGGGGGCGAGGGCUAACUGCUGGCUGACCAGGGGGCUGCUCUUCAUUGUUGUUCUGUUGGGGCAUACCCUCCACUUCUUUUUAAUUAUUGUACUCUUUCAUUUACAAUUUCAAAAUAAGACCUUCAAUUCAACAUGUCAGUGGAGUGGGUCAUGACCUGGUGUCAUGACCCACACUAUUGUUACCUUCAACAUCUUCAGUGUGAAAAUGAAACAGGAUUAAAAUUUAAUUAAGAAACUUUUAUUUUUACAAUAAACUUCUUAUAAAUAAAUAACAGCUUUCAUUUACACUUGAUUUUGUUCCA
Long non-coding RNA from Cynoglossus semilaevis (tongue sole), 2999 nucleotides. RefSeq lists it as uncharacterized. Lineage: Eukaryota; Metazoa; Chordata; Actinopteri; Pleuronectiformes; Cynoglossidae. The transcript has 3 exons. The record is from RefSeq and is a predicted model, not a curated record.